AUUAAGUUUAAUUUAAUAUAGGAUCUGCUCAAUGAUUUAUUAAAUAGCUGCAGUAUUUUGACUGUGCAAAGGUAGCAUAAUAAUUAGUCUUUUAAUUGAGGACUUGUAUGAAAGAUUUGAUGAGAAAUAAACUUUAUUAUUUAUAUAAUUAAAAUUUUAUUUUUAAGUAAAAAAGCUUAAAUUAUUUAAAGGGACGAUAAGACCCUAUAAAACUUUAUAAAUAAUAAUUUUAAUUUUUUUGGAUUUAUAAAUAUUUUAGUUUUAUUAUUUAUUUUAUUGGGGUGAUAAAAAAAAUUUUUAAACUUUUUUUAAAAUUUUACAUUAUUUAAUGAAUAUUUGAAUUAAAAUUUUUAGUUAAAGGAAAAAGUUACUUUAGGGAUAACAGCGUAAUUAAUUUUUUAAGUUCAAAUUUGAAAAUUAGUUUGCGACCUCGAUGUUGAAUUAAGAUUAAUCUUAGGUGCAAAAUUUUAAGUAUUAGGUCUGUUCGACCUUUAAAUUCUUACGUGA
RNAcentral lists this ribosomal RNA (507 nucleotides) under Macrosiphum hellebori. Its description in RNAcentral is "partial 16S ribosomal RNA". The record is from RNAcentral. Lineage: Eukaryota; Metazoa; Arthropoda; Insecta; Hemiptera; Aphididae.